CGGAGGGUGCAAGCGUUAUCCGGAUUCACUGGGUUUAAAGGGUGCGUAGGUGGGCAGGUAAGUCAGUGGUAAAAUCUCCGAGCUUAACUCGGAAACUGCCAUUGAUACUAUCUGUCUUGAAUUAUCUGGAGGUGAGCGGAAUAUGUCAUGUAGCGGUGAAAUGCUUAGAUAUGACAUAGAACACCAAUUGCGAAGGCAGCUCACUACGGAUAUAUUGACACUGAGGCACGAAAGCGUGGGGAUCAAACAGGAUUAGAUACCCUGGUAGUCCACGCCCUAAACGAUGGAUACUCGACAUCAGCGAUACACUGUUGGUGUCUGAGCGAAAGCAUUAAGUAUCCCACCUGGGAAGUACGAUCGCAAGAUUG
RNAcentral lists this ribosomal RNA (368 nucleotides) under uncultured organism. RNAcentral describes it as "bacterial SSU rRNA". It matches the Rfam family "Bacterial small subunit ribosomal RNA", at positions 526 to 896 of the family's 1533-position model. The record is from RNAcentral.